UAAUACGGAGGGUGCAAGCGUUGUCCGGAUUUAUUGGGUUUAAAGGGUGCGUAGGUGGCUUAUUAAGUCAGUGUUUAAAGUCAACAGCUCAACUGUUGGAAUGGCAUUGAUACUGAUGAGCUUGAGUAAAGUUGAGGUAGACAGAAUUGAUGGUGUAGCGGUGAAAUGCAUAGAUAUCAUCAAGAAUACCGAUUGCGAAGGCAGUUUACUAAGCUUUAACUGACACUGAGGCACGAAAGUGUGGGGAUCAAACAGGAUUAGAUACCCUGGUAGUCCACACUGUAAACGAUGAUUACUCGAUGUUAGCGAUAUUACAGUUAGCGUCUUAGCGAAAGCGUUAAGUAAUCCACCUGGGGAGUACGACCGCAAGGUUG
This 374-nucleotide ribosomal RNA is filed under the name uncultured bacterium. RNAcentral describes it as "bacterial SSU rRNA". It matches the Rfam family "Bacterial small subunit ribosomal RNA", at positions 521 to 896 of the family's 1533-position model. The record is from RNAcentral.